UACGAAGGGUGCAAACGUUGCUCGGAAUCAUUGGGCGUAAAGCGCACGUAGGCGGCUUCGCAAGUCGGAUGUGAAAUCCCAUGGCUCAACCAUGGACGUGCAUUCGAAACUGCGAAGCUUGAGUAUGGAAGAGGGUCGCGGAAUUCCCGGUGUAGAGGUGAAAUUCGUAGAUAUCGGGAGGAACACCAGUGGCGAAGGCGGCGACCUGGGCCAAUACUGACGCUGAGGUACGAAAGCGUGGGGAGCAAACAGG
This 253-nucleotide ribosomal RNA is filed under the name uncultured bacterium. Its description in RNAcentral is "partial 16S ribosomal RNA". It matches the Rfam family "Bacterial small subunit ribosomal RNA", at positions 524 to 776 of the family's 1533-position model. The record is from RNAcentral.